UACGUAGGGUGCGAGCGUUGUCCGGAAUUAUUGGGCGUAAAGGGCUCGUAGGCGGUUUGUCGCGUCGGGAGUGAAAACCAGGUGCUUAACACCUGGCUUGCUUUCGAUACGGGCAGACUAGAGGUAUGCAGGGGAGAACGGAAUUCCUGGUGUAGCGGUGAAAUGCGCAGAUAUCAGGAGGAACACCGGUGGCGAAGGCGGGUCUCUGGGCAGUAACUGACGCUGAGGAGCGAAAGCGUGGGGAGCGAACAGG
Molecule: ribosomal RNA, 253 nt
Filed under: uncultured bacterium
Lineage: Bacteria
Description: partial 16S ribosomal RNA
Rfam family: Bacterial small subunit ribosomal RNA
Source: RNAcentral